AGUGAACGCUGGCGGUAGGCCUAACACAUGCAAGUCGAACGGCAGCACAGUAAGAGCUUGCUCUUACGGGUGGCGAGUGGCGGACGGGUGAGGAAUACAUCGGAAUCUACUUUUUCGUGGGGGAUAACGUAGGGAAACUUACGCUAAUACCGCAUACGACCUACGGGUGAAAGCAGGGGAUCUUCGGACCUUGCGCGAUUGAAUGAGCCGAUGUCGGAUUAGCUAGUUGGCGGGGUAAAGGCCCACCAAGGCGACGAUCCGUAGCUGGUCUGAGAGGAUGAUCAGCCACACUGGAACUGAGACACGGUCCAGGCUCCUACGGGAGGCAGCAGUGGGGAAUAUUGGACGAUGGGCGGAAGCCUGAUCCAGCCAUGCCGCGUGGGUGAAGAAGGCCUUCGGGUUGUAAAGCCCUUUUGUUGGGAAAGAAAAGCAGCAGGUUAAUACCCCGCUGUUCUGACGGUACCCAAAGAAUAAGCACCGGCUAACUUCGUG
RNAcentral lists this ribosomal RNA (492 nucleotides) under uncultured bacterium. Its description in RNAcentral is "partial 16S ribosomal RNA". It matches the Rfam family "Bacterial small subunit ribosomal RNA", at positions 29 to 507 of the family's 1533-position model. The record is from RNAcentral.